UGAGAAACACAACUUUUAAUGAUUUAGUAGGCAGUGAGAUAUUCCCAAACUAGUAAAUUAGAAUUUUUAUAUUUUGUGGAUCCACACCUAAAGAAAAGUAAACAAGUCAAAAGAAUUGAGGAGUGCAUGCCUCACAAAAUUUAAGACAGUGCUAUGAGUCGUGCGUCUCACGCAACUGAAUCAAUCGACUAUUAAAACUGCAUCACAAUCAGUGCUUUGAAGCCCAUUUUUGCUCCCCUCAGUGUGAGGCGAAGCUCAAUUGGGUUUUCCUAAACCAGCCAACCUAUAUUGUCAUCUUCCUCUUUUUCUUUUACUUCACACAGCCAAGCCCAUAAUUCGGUUUAAUUCUUUAUUCUGAGCCGAUAUACAGGUUUUCACCAAUGGGAAUGGUGGUUAGAGGGAUUUGUGUCAGAAUAAAAGUCAACGGUGAGAUGUGAUGAUUUUAGUAGCAGCUGGAGAUCAAUUUCUGGGUAGUGACAGAGUGCAUUGUACCAUUCUCUGUAUCUGACAAAUGUAGAAAGAAAAACAUGUUUGUGAUCCCACUACAUACAAUU
RNAcentral lists this long non-coding RNA (554 nucleotides) under Olea europaea subsp. europaea. Lineage: Eukaryota; Viridiplantae; Streptophyta; Magnoliopsida; Lamiales; Oleaceae. The record is from RNAcentral.